Molecule: long non-coding RNA, 225 nt
Organism: Strongylocentrotus purpuratus (purple sea urchin)
Lineage: Eukaryota; Metazoa; Echinodermata; Echinoidea; Camarodonta; Strongylocentrotidae
Exons: 3
Source: RefSeq, a predicted model, not a curated record
UAUCUUCAUCACUGUUUAGCGGCAGAGGUAAACCAACUAGAUGGAGUUCGCCUGAAACCAUGGUAACUGGUGACCAAUCAACAUAAGGAGAUAGCUGGUCUUUUGGUAUCGUCUUGUGGGAAAUUGUGACAUUAGGUGCGAGGCCAUACCCUAAAAUGACCUUUGACACUGUCCAAAAGGAGGUUGCCAAUGGAUACCAGAUGCCACGCCCUCGUCAUUGUGGAC